This 228-nucleotide long non-coding RNA is filed under the name Phoenix dactylifera (date palm). Its description in RNAcentral is "long non-coding RNA (PDAC_LNC019629)". Lineage: Eukaryota; Viridiplantae; Streptophyta; Magnoliopsida; Arecales; Arecaceae. The record is from RNAcentral.
AGCAAGAUUUUCCAGAGUAUUAUCUUACCUGCUACCUCUCCUUCUCCUUCGAUCUCCCCUAACUUGAUCGUCGGAGGGCCUCCACUACCCCGGUGGUGGUGCGAGGCUUGCUUGCAGGUUUCCCGGCGGAAGGUGGAGCGCAACCGAAGUAAUUCCAAGGGAACCCCGUUCACACCGCUGUGCCAAUCGUUCUCGGUUUGAACCCCCAGCAACAGUUGGCGCUAGAGG